This 429-nucleotide ribosomal RNA is filed under the name Bacteroidota bacterium. RNAcentral describes it as "Bacteroidetes bacterium partial 16S ribosomal RNA". It matches the Rfam family "Bacterial small subunit ribosomal RNA", at positions 355 to 776 of the family's 1533-position model. The record is from RNAcentral. Lineage: Bacteria; Pseudomonadati; Bacteroidota.
UAGGGAAUCUUCGGCAAUGGGGGGAACCCUGACCGAGCAACGCCGCGUGAGUGAAGAAGGUUUUCGGAUCGUAAAGCUCUGUUGUUAAGGAAGAACGAGUGUGAGAAUGGAAAGUUCAUGCUGUGACGGUACUUAACCAGAAAGGGACGGCUAACUACGUGCCAGCAGCCGCGGUAAUACGUAGGCCCCGAGCGUUGUCCGGAUUUAUUGGGCGUAAAGCGAGCGCAGGCGGUUAGAAAAGUCUGAAGUGAAAGGCAGUGGCUCAACCAUUGUAGGCUUUGGAAACUGUUUAACUUGAGUGCAGAAGGGGAGAGUGGAAUUCCAUGUGUAGCGGUGAAAUGCGUAGAUAUAUGGAGGAACACCGGUGGCGAAAGCGGCUCUCUGGUCUGUAACUGACGCUGAGGCUCGAAAGCGUGGGGAGCGAACAGG